UAGGUUCGGCUUUUUAAGGCUCAAGAGGUGAAUAUGGAGCUCGACGUGUAAAAAGCUCGACCUGUCUUGUUUGGCUAGCGAGCCAAGCAUAACUAAAGUCAAUACUUGAGAGCAUUGUCCUAUUAUUUUAGGAAAAACACCAGCAGUACCUAGAAAUGAUAACAGUGACAUCGGUCUUUUUUAGAUAAAGAAAUAGCUCAUAUCCCGACCUCUACAUAAGUGCAACUAAUAUAUCCAGCCAUUAUUACAAAUAGAGAAGGGACCAAAUAUGUCAAAAGAGUAAAGUUGAACAACUCAACAAGUCUAUUACUAAACCACCACCCG
Molecule: long non-coding RNA, 324 nt
Filed under: Setaria viridis
Lineage: Eukaryota; Viridiplantae; Streptophyta; Magnoliopsida; Poales; Poaceae
Description: long non-coding RNA (SVIR_LNC001233)
Source: RNAcentral